UUAAAAAAAAUUGUUAAUAAAGAAUAUGAACCCCUUAAAAAAUUGUUAAUAAAGGCUAAAUUACAGAAAAUUUUCUGUAAAUAUCCGUUUUUUCAUUUUCCCUCCCUGCCAUUCAAAAAUCUAUACUUUACUUUUUUAAAAAAUAAAAAAAAUUUUACAAAGAGUACGCUGUGACAAAAUGACCAAAUUACUCAUCAUCUUUUACGAAGUGGGAAUGGACAGAGAGAUAGGUGAGGGCAAGGGUGAGGCAGCGGAGACGGGCGAGGGCGUGUGUGUGGGUAUGGAGAGAGAGAGAUGGACCAGGGCGAAACGGCGCGGCUGAGGACGAGAAAGGAGGGAGGUUUCAAAGGUAUUUUAGGUAUAAAAAAUAGGAUAUAAACAGAACCAUAACGGAAUAUUGACGGUAGGAGUCAAAGUAAAUAAUUUUUAUUUUUUAAGAAAGCAAAAUAUAGAUUUUUAAAUGACAGAAAGGGAAAAUAAAAAAAUGAAUAUUGAUUGAGAAAUUUUUCGUAAUUUAGCCUUUUAUAAAAGUUUAUUACUUGGUGU
Molecule: long non-coding RNA, 546 nt
Filed under: Ananas comosus (pineapple)
Lineage: Eukaryota; Viridiplantae; Streptophyta; Magnoliopsida; Poales; Bromeliaceae
Description: long non-coding RNA (ACOM_LNC024974)
Source: RNAcentral